CCACUUUGCAAAAAGUUUGGACACCCCUGCUUUAGGUAAAGGUCAACAACCUGGCAUAUUUUCCAAUUUUCAUUAAUCAAAACUGAUCAAGAGUUGUCUAGAAUGACUACAAAAGUUCCCUCCCGCCCUUAGCAUUACUUUAGCUACAGGUAUCAAGAAAAUUAAGUGGGGAGAGUGGGGAGUCAUAAUUCAUCAAAGUACCCACGUUACCUGAAGGCAUCAUCAUUCGGGGUUGCUUUGAUAGGCUGUCUCUCACAAGUCAACACGUCUCUCGUGGAGGCUGCGCCCCUCCGCGUUAAAACACGGCCAAAAGUUUUGAAACUGAAAAAAAAAGAUCUGAAAGCAAAAAAAAGAUUUGAAAGCGGAAAAAAAAAAUUUGAAACUGAAAAAAAUUGAUCUUGAAGUGAAAAAAAAAAUUAAACUGAAAAAAUAAGAUCUGAAAGUGAAAAAAAAAAUCUUUGAACCUGAAAAUACCAACUUUGCAACUGGAAAAAUAAAAUGUUUUUUUUUCGCUUUUGAAAGUUUCAAGAACUAUUUCAAAAACUAUUUUUUUCAAUCGUUUCCUUUUUUCAGAUUGCAAAACUUUUGCCAUAUAUGCAGUAUACUUUUAACAGGACCAAGUAAACUGCCAUUUUUUUUGUUUUGUGUGCAAUGACAAAAAAACUGACAGGAAGUUGAUUGCGGCACAAGCGUCAGGCUGAGGUGCGUCGUGUCUCCGCGGCAGCUGGGAGGCGCCACUGAGGAGUGACGGGACAAUCAGCCAGAAAUGUGUGGCAAGCUCUCAGCAUUUGACAGUCAGCAUCCCGUCAUGUUGUUAGAUUGUUAUUUUGAAUUUCCGGAUCUACAUCGGAGUGACAGCGUUGAAGUCAAGGAGGAUUCGGCCUGAUUCAAGGCGGGAUUGAAGACGACCAUUUUUCUUCAACUUCAACCAACUUUUGGAGCAUCACCCUGGGAGCAGAUAAGCUCACCCUCACUAGAAAAUCUUUCAUACAAUAUACAGUCACACUAUCCGGGUAGUACAUACAUACACUGAAUAGGAGAACGGACAUUGAAGCACGGCAGCAAUAGGCUGUGAAGGGACUAUUCAACAAUGUAAUAUUUUUGAUUUACAUGAUUCAGGUGUAAUUAUAUAUUGUUGUAUAAUAGAUUAA
This is a long non-coding RNA of Corythoichthys intestinalis (scribbled pipefish), 1151 nucleotides long. RefSeq lists it as uncharacterized. NCBI's taxonomy places the organism in Eukaryota, Metazoa, Chordata, Actinopteri, Syngnathiformes, Syngnathidae. The record is from RefSeq and is a predicted model, not a curated record. The transcript has 3 exons.